This 401-nucleotide ribosomal RNA is filed under the name uncultured bacterium. RNAcentral describes it as "bacterial SSU rRNA". It matches the Rfam family "Bacterial small subunit ribosomal RNA", at positions 135 to 518 of the family's 1533-position model. The record is from RNAcentral.
AGGGGGAGUAACAUCCGGAAACGGGUGCUAAUACCGCAUAGUUUUCUUGAUCGCAUGAAUUGAGAAAGGAAAGACGGCCUUUGUGCUGUCGCUUAUGGAUGGACCCGCGGCGUAUUAGUUAGUUGGUGAGGUAACGGCUCACCAAGACGAUGAUACGUAGCCGACCUGAGAGGGUGAUCGGCCACAUUGGGACUGAGACACGGCCCAAACUCCUACGGGAGGCAGCAGUAGGGAAUCUUCCGCAAUGGACGAAAGUCUGACGGAGCAACGCCGCGUGAGUGAAGAAAAGGUUUUCGGAUCGUAAAACUCUGUUGUUAGAGAAGAACAAGUUGGAGAGUAACUGCUCCAGCCUUGACGGUAUCUGACCAGAAAGCCACGGCUAACUACGUGCCAGCCGCUGC